This 284-nucleotide long non-coding RNA is filed under the name Brassica napus (rape). Its description in RNAcentral is "long non-coding RNA (BNAP_LNC013355)". Lineage: Eukaryota; Viridiplantae; Streptophyta; Magnoliopsida; Brassicales; Brassicaceae. The record is from RNAcentral.
UUUUCAAAAACUAUUUAUUUAUCUUAAUUUCUACAUAUAAUUAAAUCAAAAUUUGAAAUUAAAUAUUGUAAGCAAAUAAUAAAAUCUAAAAAAAAAAAUAUAAUUUAAAUUUUAAAACUUUUAUACGUGGGUAUAUCAGUACAAGAAUGAUUCUAAAAAAAUGACAUUUUCUAAACUAGUAGGUAAAGUUUUAGGUUUUUUGGAUCCAUCCUAUCUCAAAUUGGGUUAGGCCCAAAAUAUGUAAAGUCCAAAUGAACUCAGUUUGAAAGACCUAUUUUUGGACU